This 1850-nucleotide long non-coding RNA is filed under the name Nicotiana tabacum (common tobacco). RNAcentral's name for it is "long non-coding RNA (NTAB_LNC018600)". Lineage: Eukaryota; Viridiplantae; Streptophyta; Magnoliopsida; Solanales; Solanaceae. The record is from RNAcentral.
GCUUGCAUAUUUAUAAACAGUCCAGUAACCUUGUUUUACUAUUUUAUGUAGAUAGUGCAACCAUGUAAUUAAUUCAAAAUGUACAUGAAUGUCGAAAAAUCAGAAAAAUGUACAACAUACAAGCCUUUCACCCAAAAAGAAGAUAAUAAGGAAGGGAAGAAAAGAAGCAGCAGCAUCUAUGUACACAGCUCGUUUAUCCUUUCUGGUGCUUCCGUAGGCGCUCAAACUCUUUCAAUUUCGUGUUUAGAAGUGUAUGCUCCUGCUGCAUUUUGCCGAGCAGUGUUUCGACCAUAACCAUCUCCUCUUUGAGAUGACUAAUCUGUUUAUCCAGAAAGGCUAGUGUGUCUAUACCCCUAUCUCCCAGUCGAUACAUGCUACCUGUGCAGUCCCCUUGAGGUAUCACGUGGACGUGCUGAGGUCUACCUAAUAACACGAGUAUGCUCAUCUGCAAAUGAAGUUUGAUUACACCAAAAGAUUAGACAGCAAAAUUUAUGUUUCACCUCAGUUUGCAAGAGAAGUUCUGACAGCAAUAUUGACUGAUCGAUCUGUUCUGAGGACCACCAUAUGUGAAAACAGAUUAAGUCAUGCACACUAGAAGAUCAAUGCAUCACAUAUACAAAGUAACAAACAAAUUAGAACAAAAUUGACAGAGUCAAACAAAAGCCAGGCUGGGCUGAAACUCGCAAAUUAGUUGGUUGCAGGGGAGGGGGUAAUGUUGACUUGUUUUCCAGAAGGCAUAUAAUGAAAAAGAGUAAUGCCAGGAUCAGAUGAUGUACAUCUCAUAGGAGAGACAGAUAAAUACAAAGCAUGUUCCACAUGCAUCAAAACGAAGGGAACAAGGACAGCAUUUUCCUACAUUUAAACAAGAUGGAAAGAGCAAACAUACAAGAAUAUCAGCUCGUAUAGCCCUAACCUACUUCUACCACCGAAAGUCAGCCAACUCUUGUAACAUGCAGCUAAUUACAUUCCCUCUCUUGUCACCAUUUUAUUAACCCGGUUUCUACCUUAAUUCGUCAGUACUAUGAUUUCAAUCAUAAUUUGUUCCAACUUUUUCCCCUUCUAUUCAAACAAAUAUGAAUAUAUGCUACUUUUUAUUACUUCAAAAUUGAUCUUUCCAACAAAUUUGUACACUUCCUCACACUUCAAAUUAUUAUUUUGAUCUCCUCAAAUAAACCAAUACAAUAAGCCAUUCAAACCUUGAAGGUCAACCCAAGUCAAUUAAAAUGGUAAGGAGGGAGUGUUUGCAUCGCUAUCUUGGACAUCGAAAGGUGAAUUCUACUGUACCAAGAAUAGUUUACAGAGAGUAUCACGACACUAACCCCAAAAUCAGGGAAAAAGGGUCAGACCAAAAACAAGCGUACAAUCUGCAGUUGACAAAUUCUCCAGUAACUAUUUGUUGACCCUAACAACCCUAACGAUUAACAGAAAAAAGCAUGAAAAUCAGCAACUGCGUGAUCACAUGACCAAAGCAGUUUACUUUCCCUUGCUCACAACAUCAUAUGAGGAACAGUUUGUGGUAGCAAAUUAGUUAAACGUAAUCUCAGAUAGAAGGCGCAAAUUGAGAAACAUACCUGCAUUAAGAGCAGGAUCACAGCAAUGGUGAUCACUAUAAGAAUGGAAACCUGGCUUUGAGAUUUGAAAGAUGAUGAACACUUAACCAUGAAAUUUCUACACAAGGAAGUAACAGAGACGGUACUGCUACAACUACCCCGCAGGGAAUCAGCAGCUAGCUGGUUGAGUGGCAGUGUUUGUGACCUAACUUCAUCACUUGCCCCGUCUAAUAUUUCCACAUGUUCAGAACUUUCUUUCUGCUGAGCACUUGUUACCACAUUAGCAGCAUGACCACCGGC